AGAGGGUGCAAGCGUUAAUCGGACUUACUGGGCGUAAAGGGCGCGUAGGCGGAUGAUUGGGUCAGUUGUGAAAUUCCAGGGCUUAACCCUGGGCCUGCAAUUGAAACUGGUUGUCUAGAGUUGAACAGAGGGGGGCGGAAUUUCCGGUGUAGCGGUGAAAUGCGUAGAUAUCGGAAGGAACACCCGUGGCGAAGGCGGCCCUCUGGGUUCAAACUGACGCUGAGGCGUGAAAGCGUGGGUAGCGAACAGGAUUAGAUACCCUGGGUAGUCCACGCUGUAAACGAUGAGUACUAGCUGUUGGUGUCCCUUGAGGCAUCAGUAGCGGAGCUAACGCAUUAAGUACUCCGCCUGGGGAUUACGGCCGCAAGGCUA
Molecule: ribosomal RNA, 372 nt
Filed under: uncultured organism
Description: partial 16S ribosomal RNA
Rfam family: Bacterial small subunit ribosomal RNA
Source: RNAcentral